RNAcentral lists this ribosomal RNA (198 nucleotides) under uncultured bacterium. RNAcentral describes it as "partial 16S ribosomal RNA". It matches the Rfam family "Bacterial small subunit ribosomal RNA", at positions 328 to 539 of the family's 1533-position model. The record is from RNAcentral.
ACGCUCGACACCUACGGGAGGCAGCAGUGGGGAAUAUUGCACAAUGGGGGAAACCCUGAUGCAGCGACGCCGCGUGAAGGAUGAAGUAUUUCGGUAUGUAAACUUCUAUCAGCAGGGAAGAAAGUGACGGUACCUGACUAAGAAGCCCCGGCUAACUACGUGCCAGAAGCCGCGGUAAUCUGAGCGGGCUGGCAAGGC